Brienomyrus brachyistius is the source of this 1288-nucleotide long non-coding RNA. RefSeq lists it as uncharacterized. The record is from RefSeq and is a predicted model, not a curated record. Lineage: Eukaryota; Metazoa; Chordata; Actinopteri; Osteoglossiformes; Mormyridae. The transcript has 6 exons.
GUUUGAUUUCGAGCGUCACUUCGUCCGCUUGUCGUCCAGGGAGCCUUUCGCGCUCGCCUACUUUCAGUUUUAUGGAGAAGUUACAUAAAGCUUAAGGACUCUAGUACGCGGCUUUAAAGUGUCUCUCGGAAAAUGGUGAAUUAGCCUCGCAAGAUUGAUGCCACGGAAAAAAGAAACUCUUUUUUUUUUUUAAACAAAAAAAGAGCAUUGACUCAGCAUUUAAUUAGCCACACCGACCCGGAACGGAAACGCAUAUAUGUCCAAAGCUAAGCAACCACAGUAGCGGCGUCGUUAUGCCGACUAAUACCCGGUGACAUUGCUGUAAGCAAAGGUGGCUGUCAUACUGUCGAUCCGCUCAGAUAUGGAGGCAGGAAGGAGGCAUCCGGCUGCAGAAAGAGGGGGACCAAACCGGGGAGCAAGGCUGAGCUGACGGAGGAGCGAAAGAUGGAGAUCAGAGAAGCGUUUGACCUCUUUGACACUGACGGCUCGGGAACCAUCGAUGUCCGAGAGCUUAAGCCGUGUGAAUCCUGUGAGUCAGCUUCUGCUCACCGAUGCCAGCACAGAAGGAGCAGUGAAAGGUAGCAAAGAGUGCCCUGGGUUUCGAGCCUACGAAAGAGGAAAUAAUGAAGAUGGUUGCCAGCAUUGAUAAGGAAGGCUCUGAAUGAAAAGGAAAUCCCAAAAGCCUUCUGGCUGUUUGAUGACAAUGGCACUGGAAAAAUCUCUUUGAAAAUAGUUGCCAGAGAACUCGGUGAGAACAGAUGAGGAGCUGCAAGAAAUGAUUGAUGAGGCUGAUGGAGAUGGCGACGGGGACGUCAACGAGCAGGAAUUUAACCUUUUUUAUUCAGCAAUGGAAUUUCAUAGUUUGUUUUACAUAUUAGACGUUAUUAACUUUUUUGUUAUGAAAAUAAUUUUUCACAAUAUGAUUACAAAUUGGUAACAUGGGACAAAAAUCUGUUUCAUCUGACUUGGCAAUUAUGUAUAUUGUGUAUGUAUAUUUCUUUAUUUUAUCGCAAACACUAUAAUGGCUAAGUUAUAAGUUCUAAAAGUUAUAAGCUCUAAAAUUUACAUUUUCUGUAAAACCCCUGUUAUGUAGAUACAUUUAGAUACAUUUUAGUGAAUUCAUCAUUGGGGGGUUACUACUGUACAUGCAUCAUUUAUUGAUUUACUCGUCUCUGGUCAAUGGAUAUUGUAAUAUUAAUUUAAUUUUCACCAAAACUAAUUGUUAAGACUCCAAGACUUACAAAAAGUUUUAAACCAAACUUUUUAAAAAUAAAAACUUUUUUUUGCA